UACGGGGGGAGCAAGCGUUGUCCGGAAUUACUGGGCGUAAAGAGCGCGUAGGCGUCCUGAUAAGUUUCUGGUGAAAUACUCCUGCUCAACGGGAGAAUUGCCAGAGAUACUGUCAGGAUUGAGUUCAGAAGAGGGAAGCGGAAUUCCUGGUGUAGCGGUGAAAUGCGUAGAUAUCAGGAAGAACACCAAUGGCGAAGGCAGCUUCCUGGUCUGAUACUGACGCUGUGGCGCGAAAGCGUGGGUAGCAAACAGG
This 253-nucleotide ribosomal RNA is filed under the name uncultured bacterium. RNAcentral describes it as "partial 16S ribosomal RNA". It matches the Rfam family "Bacterial small subunit ribosomal RNA", at positions 524 to 776 of the family's 1533-position model. The record is from RNAcentral.